CUAACCAGUAUUCCAUUGUUUAGUUAAGCCUGCUCAAUGUAAAAAUAAAUGGCCGCAGAAUUUCCUGUGCUAAGGUAGCAUAAUAAUUUGCCUUUUAAUUCAAGGCUAGAAUGAAAGGUAUUACAUAUUGAUAACUUUAUUAACAAAACAUAUUUAACCUAACCUUUUAGUAAAAAGGCUAAAAUAUUUAAGUAGACGACAAGACCCUGACAAACUUUACAUUUUUGUUUAACUGGGGGGGUUAGAAAACUUUAUCUUUUCGAAUUUUAAAUCAUCAGAAACCUUCUAUAUUUUAUCCAAGUUACUGCAGGGAUAACAGCAUAAUCUUUUCCUAAAGAUCUUAUUUAAGAAAAAGUUUGUGACCUCGAUGUUGAAUUAGAAACCUAUACGGAGCAAAAUCUUUACAAGUAAGUCUGUUCGACUUUUAAUAUUCUACAUGAUUUGAGUUCAGACCGGCGCAAGCCAGGUCGGUUUCUAUCUCUUUUAAAGAAAUUUCAGUACGAAAGGACCAAAAUUCUAAUCUUUCAUUACCC
RNAcentral lists this ribosomal RNA (533 nucleotides) under Nemesia seldeni. RNAcentral's name for it is "partial 16S ribosomal RNA". It matches the Rfam family "Bacterial large subunit ribosomal RNA", at positions 1890 to 2718 of the family's 2925-position model. The record is from RNAcentral. Lineage: Eukaryota; Metazoa; Arthropoda; Arachnida; Araneae; Nemesiidae.